This 301-nucleotide ribosomal RNA is filed under the name uncultured bacterium. RNAcentral's name for it is "partial 16S ribosomal RNA". It matches the Rfam family "Bacterial small subunit ribosomal RNA", at positions 509 to 809 of the family's 1533-position model. The record is from RNAcentral.
CAGUCGCCGCGGUAAUACAGAGGGUGCGAGCGUUAAUCGGAUUUACUGGGCGUAAAGCGUGCGUAGGCGGCUUCUUAAGUCGGAUGUGAAAUCCCUGAGCUUAACUUAGGAAUUGCAUUCGAUACUGGGAAGCUAGAGUAUGGGAGAGGAUGGUAGAAUUCCAGGUGUAGCGGUGAAAUGCGUAGAGAUCUGGAGGAAUACAGAUGGCGAAGGCAGCCAUCUGGCCUAAUAAUGACGCUGAGGUACGAAAGCAUGGGGAGCAAACAGGAUUAGAUACCCCAGUAGUCCCUGUCUCUUAUAA